AGCACGGUAGCUCGGGGUAGAGCGCUGGGCUCAUAACCCAAUGAUCCCUGGAUCGAAACCAGGUCGUGCUA
RNAcentral lists this transfer RNA (71 nucleotides) under Colletotrichum incanum. It matches the Rfam family "tRNA". From Rfam's summary of the family: Transfer RNA (tRNA) molecules are approximately 80 nucleotides in length. Their secondary structure includes four short double-helical elements and three loops (D, anti-codon, and T loops). Lineage: Eukaryota; Fungi; Ascomycota; Sordariomycetes; Glomerellales; Glomerellaceae. The record is from Rfam by way of RNAcentral.